AGCAGCCGCGGUAAUUCCAGCUCCAAUAGCGUAUAUUAAAGUUGUUGCAGUUAAAAAGCUCGUAGUUGAAUUUCGGGAUCAAUAUGUCGGUCGUGCCUUGGUACGUACUGGUAUCAUUGGUCUCUCCUUUCUGACGAACCAUGAUGUCAUUAAUUUGGUGUUAUGGGAAGUUAGGACUGUUACUUUGAAAAAAUUAGAGUGUUUAAAGCAGGCUUUAGCUUGAAUACAUUAGCAUGGAAUAAUGAAAUAGGACGUUCGAACCUAUUUUGUUGGUUUCUAGGAUCAACGUAAUGAUUAAUAGGGAUAGUUGGGGGCAUUAGUAUUCAAUUGUCAGAGGUGAAAUUCUUGGAUUUAUUGAAGACUAACUACUGCGAAAGCAUUUGCCAAGGAUGUUUUCAUUAAUCUAAGAACGAAAGUUAGGGGAUCGAAGACGAUCAGAUACCGUCGUAGUCUUAACCAUAAACUAUGCCGACUAGGGA
Molecule: ribosomal RNA, 479 nt
Filed under: uncultured Glomus
Lineage: Eukaryota; Fungi; Glomeromycota; Glomeromycetes; Glomerales; Glomeraceae
Description: SSU rRNA
Rfam family: Eukaryotic small subunit ribosomal RNA
Source: RNAcentral